RNAcentral lists this ribosomal RNA (410 nucleotides) under uncultured bacterium. RNAcentral's name for it is "bacterial SSU rRNA". It matches the Rfam family "Bacterial small subunit ribosomal RNA", at positions 509 to 916 of the family's 1533-position model. The record is from RNAcentral.
CAGCAGCCGCGGUAAUACGUAGGGUGCAAGCGUUGUCCGGAAUUAUUGGGCGUAAAGAGCUCGUAGGCGGUCUGUCACGUCGGCUGUGAAAACCCGAGGCUCAACCUCGGGCCUGCAGUCGAUACGGGCAGACUAGAGCUCGGUAGGGGAGACUGGAAUUCCUGGUGUAGCGGUGAAAUGCGCAGAUAUCAGGAGGAACACCGGUGGCGAAGGCGGGUCUCUGGGCCGAAACUGACGCUGAGGAGCGAAAGCGUGGGGAGCAAACAGGAUUAGAUACCCUGGUAGUCCACGCCGUAAACGUUGGGCGCUAGGUGUGGGUUUCCUUCCACGGGAUCCGUGCCGCAGCUAACGCAUUAAGCGCCCCGCCUGGGGAGUACGGCCGCAAGGCUAAAACUCAAAGGAAUUGACGG